This 389-nucleotide long non-coding RNA is filed under the name Phoenix dactylifera (date palm). RNAcentral describes it as "long non-coding RNA (PDAC_LNC019292)". Lineage: Eukaryota; Viridiplantae; Streptophyta; Magnoliopsida; Arecales; Arecaceae. The record is from RNAcentral.
UUUAUACUUAUUAAAAAAAUUUCAUUAUUUAAAAAAAAAAGGGUAAAGGACAGGGUAUUUAAUCAUGUUUUCGUGAUUGUCUUUUAUCUCAAUGGGCUGCACAACGGAGAGGGGAAAGGACAGUAAAGAUGCAUCCUUCAGUUGGAUCAGAGCUAAGCCAACAUAAAAGACAAAAAGUCCUCUCAGCAACCAUCUUUUGUAAGAAUCUGUCAUUCAACCAUUACUCCAAGCUACCAACUUAUGCUCUGAGAUUCUUAUGACCCCUGCAGCAGAGAUUAUGCAUUCUUAGAGAUCUGAUGUUGGUACAUGGACAUCCACUUAUUGCUUUCUAGGUCUCAUGAUGAUGUGAUACCCACUUUUACAGAAUAGAACAAUUCCUGCUGCUAUGC